AUGGGAAAUAUGAAAUGUGCGGGUAACCAACCAUGUACAGGGAAAUAGGAAUUCAAGUAUGGGUAAGUGUGCGGGUAACCAACCAUAUAUAGGCAAAUAGGAAUUCAAAUAUAGGAAAUAUGAAAUGUGCGGGUAACCAACCAUGUACAGGGAAAUAGGAAUUCAAGUAUGGGUAAGUGUGCGGGUAACCAACCAUAUAUAGGCAAAUAG
Brugia malayi is the source of this 210-nucleotide non-coding RNA. The record is from RefSeq and is a predicted model, not a curated record. NCBI's taxonomy places the organism in Eukaryota, Metazoa, Nematoda, Chromadorea, Rhabditida, Onchocercidae.